GUUUCCAUAACAACAGUGCCAACUGGGGACCAAGUGUUCAAACACAGGAACCUUCUCAUUUAAAGAACCACAGAGGUCAAGCAGUCUUUGGUGCUGGGGCUGAUGUUGAAGGUGUUUGUUGGAUAGCCUGAGACGGUACCACUUGGAGUUUAAAUAGUCCGAGAUCUGAAAGAUGUCAAUUAUGCCAGAAGGUUAGGUGAGGGCUGAAAGGAAAGAGAGUCAUCUAUUGAGCAAACAGCAAGAGUCACCUUUAUACACAGAGCUUCAAGAUGUCUUCUAGAGCUGGAGAGCACCUCAAGACACCUCAAGUACAUUGCCCAAGCCAAUGAAGCGGCACAGCCAGAAUCCAAAGUCACCUUUAUCUGUUUUCCCAAUCACCGUUCUUCCGAAUAUCCACAUGAACAGUAUUAGUUCAAAGAUAAAAGGGCGAGUCUGGGAGCCAUAGAAUGCGCAGGUUCUCCUGUGCAACCUCCAGGUAUCGCCAGGAACUUCCUAGUUCCUCCUUCUUGAGGGGUUUACUCUUCCCUGAUUCAGCCAGGGUUUAUCGAGUGCAGAGUUAGGCACUGGGCUGGGUGAGGGUCCUCGGCUGCUCACUUUCUAAUGGGAAAAGGGAAUUGUAUCUAAUGUAUCUUUCUAAUGUAUCAGGAAGCAGACAGGUCUCUCCUGCUGUGUUUAAUUCCCAUAAAGCAGGCAGGUAACUCACUACCUGCCUGGAUGCAGAUUUUUGCACUCUUUGCAGCAGGACGACACCUAUUUUCCCCACACCAAGCACCCCCAGCUGUAGAUUAGCUGUGCAGGAAGACCCUGGGGUGUGCAGAUAUAAAUACACUGAUGCUUGAUCAUGGCUUAAGUUAUUGUCCAUCUCAGCCACCAGUGAACCCCCUGCACCAUAUAUCAAGGGGGUAUACAUUUCUUCAUUCAUGAUAAAUUACCCAGAAAGGCUAGAUUCCAGCAGGUUCAGCCACAAUUUAUUAUCGGAGGCUGAAGAACAAACAGACUGUCAUUUCCCAGCUGCCCAGGACACAUGUUUGAAUGGAGAUUGGGACUCCCCGGGCUCCGCUGAUCCUCCCUAGAUUUCAGAACCAGACCUUCUGAGCAUCUUCCUUGGACUUCCUCUCAGCAGUGAGGACAUCCAAAAUGAGUCGUGAUUCAGCAAGAUGAAGUUCACACAGACUUGGUUUGACAUCUCCACGCUUCUGUCGGGGCAUCUCAUUUCCUGAAAUGUUGAUAUUCGUCUCCACUCGAAACUGCAGUCCAGGCAGCUGCCCUUCUUGUGGUUUUGCCUCCCGUUUUGAGGCACUGUGCCUGACUGUUCGUUCACUUGAUCAUUGACUUGGCUUUGACUCUGGAUGAUAUUUGACCAACACAUUCUGUACACCAGUCCAUCUGGGGAUCACUAACGGGCAGAAACCUGGUUUUGAUUUUCAUCUUGUUUUGUGAGCCACUCUAGUUUAUGCGUGAGCUUCUUAUCCCCAAAUCAUGCUUUAGUUCAGCCAUCGUUGAUGACCCUGGUUUAUAUAGCCAACAGUUUGGAAGACCCCCUCUCCUGGUCUCAGUUGUCCUCCAGCCUACUAUCUCUGGACCAUGCAACAUCCAGUGACAGAUAAUCCAGCCAGUGUGGGCUGCCCCUUGUGUCAACACAAUCACUUCUAGACAAAGAAUCGGAAACGCUGGGGAAUUUAUUUGCCAGAGGUGCGACAGUCAACGAUGAAAUUCAACCUCGGAUCUUUUUGCUCUAAACACGGAGUGCCCAUUGCCCAUCACUUAUUGCUUGAUGCCAGUGAGUCUCCAGUUUUGCCAGAAAUCCUUUGAACUGUGCUAGCUUCAUGGAAUCCCCUCAUGGAAUCCUAAGGAACAAGACACCGGCGAGGCAGUUUGAAAACACAAAGGGCUUCAGGACAAUUGUGAAGGAAAGCGGAACAGAUCAUUGUACCAACUACCCCAGGGGAAAGCACACCGUGCAAAGAAAUCCCUGAGGAGGGCCGAGUGGAAUACCAUCCCUAGGCACACCUUUAAUCAAACUUCAAAGGAAAGACAGCCCAUUCCCUUUGGAAGCCAUUAUAUAAUGAAGUCAGCCCUGCUUUCAACUCCUAAACUAA
Rattus norvegicus (Norway rat) is the source of this 2099-nucleotide long non-coding RNA. RefSeq lists it as uncharacterized. Lineage: Eukaryota; Metazoa; Chordata; Mammalia; Rodentia; Muridae. The record is from RefSeq and is a predicted model, not a curated record.